Molecule: small nucleolar RNA, 129 nt
Organism: Paramormyrops kingsleyae
Lineage: Eukaryota; Metazoa; Chordata; Actinopteri; Osteoglossiformes; Mormyridae
Gene: SNORA63
Rfam family: Small nucleolar RNA SNORA63
About the family: E3 belongs to the H/ACA class of snoRNAs and is involved in the processing of eukaryotic pre-rRNA and has regions of complementarity to 18S rRNA.
Source: Ensembl
AAGCAGGAAAAGUUACAGGACAGCUGGGCAGUGCUGUGCUGUCGUUCCCCCUGCACAAAGUGACCUGUUUCUUACUAUCCCUGACUGUUGGUAUCCCCACCACUGACAGGGACGCUUGGUCUCAGACAU